Lathyrus oleraceus (garden pea) is the source of this 641-nucleotide long non-coding RNA. RefSeq lists it as uncharacterized. The record is from RefSeq and is a predicted model, not a curated record. NCBI's taxonomy places the organism in Eukaryota, Viridiplantae, Streptophyta, Magnoliopsida, Fabales, Fabaceae. The transcript is spliced from 2 exons.
CCCACUGUGUGAAGCCGAGAAGGGGAGAGAGAUUCAGAAGAAAUCAUUUCCACAUUCACCUCUCUUCAACUCUCUCAAGCCCCUCUUCCAACAGCCUCACCGGAGAACAAACCUCAUGGCAUCGGAAAUCGCCUUCGACGGCGGCGAAGGUCCAAACGACCUCAUACAUACAUCAACCAUCUCGUUUUCACUCCCUCUCUCUCAAUCUCAAAACGACUUCUGUUAGUGAAAUUUGAGAGGAAAGGCUGGUAUGAUCUUGAUAUGAAACAAUUUUUUUGGCAAAGUGUGGAUCAAGGUUGGCAUGGAGUCAUGUAGAUCAUGAAGACCUUUGGCAAGUCAUGGCAUAUGAAGAAGACCUUAGAGGAUGGGAUGUCCUAGAGGAUGAAUAAAAAGUGGGAUUAGGGUUUAGGACAACUAAUUGACUUUGGUCAACUAUUUGACCAAAAAGUCAAUUGUUGACCAAAAGUCGACCCUAUGUCAAAACAUGUAAUUUUGUGUAGAAUUUUGUAGUAUUGGAUUUGCAAUGUGAUUUGAUGAUUUUGUGAUGAAAAAUGGCUUUUGAAAUGAAUAUGUAUGCCUUGUAUCAUAAGAAAGAUGGUUUACCUCCAAAAUCCAAUUCUGAAUAUUUGAACUUGUACUGU